UACGGAGGUGGCAAGCGUUGCUCGGAAUCACUGGGCGUAAAGGGCGCGUAGGCGGGGAGGUAAGUCGGGGGUGAAAUCCCUCGGCCCAACCGAGGAACUGCGACCGAGACUGCUUCUCUUGAGUCCCGGAGAGGAAGAUGGAAUUCCCGGUGUAGCGGUGAAAUGUGUAGAGAUCGGGAGGAACACCGGUGGCGAAGGCGGUCUUCUGGACGGUGACUGACGCUGAGGCGCGAAAGCGUGGGGAGCAAACGGG
RNAcentral lists this ribosomal RNA (253 nucleotides) under uncultured bacterium. RNAcentral's name for it is "partial 16S ribosomal RNA". It matches the Rfam family "Bacterial small subunit ribosomal RNA", at positions 524 to 776 of the family's 1533-position model. The record is from RNAcentral.